GUAGGAGCCAAGCGUUAUCCGAAUUCACUGGGCGUAAAGCGCGUGCAGGCGGCUGCGCAAGUUGGGUGUGAAAUCUCCCGGCUCAACUGGGAGAGGCCGCUCAAGACUGCGUGGCUCGAGGCUGGUAGAGGGAGGUGGAAUUCCCGGUGUAGUGGUGAAAUGCGUAGAUAUCGGGAGGAACACCAGUGGCGAAAGCGGCCUCCUGGACCAGACCUGACGCUAAGAUGCGAAAGCUAGGGGAGCGAACGGGAUUAGAAACCCCGGUAGUCCUAGCCGUAAACGAUGUAGACUAGGCGUGGGUGGGGUAAAAGCCAUCCGUGCCGCAGCUAACGCGGUAAGUCUACCGCCUGGGGACUACGGCCGCAAGGUUAAA
Molecule: ribosomal RNA, 373 nt
Filed under: uncultured bacterium
Lineage: Bacteria
Description: bacterial SSU rRNA
Rfam family: Bacterial small subunit ribosomal RNA
Source: RNAcentral